CCGCGGUAAAACGUAGGGGGCGAGCGUUAUCCGGAUUUAUUGGGCGUAAAGCGCACGUAGGCGGCGCUGUAAGUUGGAUGUGAAAGCUCCCGGCUUAACUGGGAGAGGCCGUUCAAUACUGCAGUGCUUGAGGUUGGAAGAGGAGAGUGGAAUUCCCGGUGUAGUGGUGGAAUGCGUAGAUAUCGGGAGGAACACCAGUGGCGAAAGCGACUCUCUGGUCCACACCUGACGCUGAGGUGCGAAAGCGUGG
Molecule: ribosomal RNA, 250 nt
Filed under: uncultured bacterium
Lineage: Bacteria
Description: partial 16S ribosomal RNA
Rfam family: Bacterial small subunit ribosomal RNA
Source: RNAcentral